GGAGUGCGUUCGGUGCGCCGUGGGUCCGCGCUGCUUCCACCCAACUUCCUGUUAGUUUCUCUCCUGUCACAAUGGCAUGAUCUCGGCUCACUGCGACCUCUGCUUCCUGGGUUCAAGGAUUCUCCUGCCUCAGCCUCCCAAGUAGCUGGGAUUACAGUUUCCAUCAUUAUCUUCUAUGGAGUUCUUCAUUCCCACAUCUGUGGACCUUAAAAUCCUACCGUUGAGUGCCUGCCUUGGAUCAGCAGUCAGUUCGUUACCUUGGUUCUCAGACGAUGCUUGCAACAACGCCAUGCGAUUCGCCCACUCUUGGGUUACAUUAGUUAUACACUCUGGAGGUGACUUGACCUGUCAUUGUGAACAAUUAUUGCUCUUGGACGACCCAGGACAUAGGCCAGCCAGUACGUACCCCAGUGUGUUGGAGAAUCGCGCUCGGCUUCUUCCUCUGUGCUGAGUCAUGAAAGUUGCCGGAGCAGGUAUGAUCCUGUUUAAGGACUGGAUUUAGGAUAACUACUUAGAGGUUAAAAGUCACAAGGGUGUAUGGAUGAGGCUGGAGUGAUCUGGGACCAAAGACAUCUAGGCUUGCUGUCAAGGCUUCUGAUCAACAUGAGAUGACCGCCGUGUGGUAAACUGAUGAACCCUGACCCUGAUCAACAUGAGAUGACCGCCGUGUGGUAAACUGAUGAACCCCGACCCUGAUGAACGUGAGAUGACCGCCGUGUGGUAAACUGAUGAACCCCGACCCUGAUGAACGUGAGAUGACCGCCGUGUGGUAAACUGAUGAACCCCGACCCUGAUGAACGUGAGAUGACCGCCGUGUGGUAAACUGAUGAACCCCGACCCUGAUGAACGUGAGAUGACCGCCGUGUGGUAAACUGAUGAACCCCGACCCUGAUCAACGUGAGAUGACCGCCGUGUGGUAAACUGAUGAACCCCGACCCUGAUGAACAUGAGAUGACCGCCGUGUGGUAAACUGAUGAACCCCGACCCUGAUCAACAUGAGAUGACCGCCGUGUGGUAAACUGAUGAACCCCGACCCUGAUCAACAUGAGAUGACUGCCGUGUGGUAAACUGAUGAACCCUGACCCAUUAGGCUUUGGCUACAGAAUGUGGAAAUAAGUUGUGUUACUACAUGUGUGUAAUCCUAGGGUGCAGGACACCGGCCGGGAGGUUCCAUAGAGUGAUGGGUUCUGCAGGUAACUCAUCCUCUAGUCCUCUGUAAGCUCCUAGAAGGAAGAAAUUAUGUCCUUUAGACUAAUAAAAUUCCUCCAAACCAAAUACAGCACCUACUGUGAAGACACAAAGAUACUUUUAGAAUAGUAAAAACUUUAUCCAUUGAGAAAUUCCUUAAUGAAACAGUAUCCAAGAAGUCAUUUGCCAGCAGAUUUCUUAGAGGUGCGAUAAAGAAGAGGACAUUGCCAGUCGUCACAGCAGCUGCAAUAGCUCCUCUCUAUUGUUAAACAGUGGGAUAUCUUGUGCAGGUUUUCAGUUGACAAUCAAUUUUAAAGAUUAGUUUCGGUCCCCAUCAAUCAAUUAUUUAUUAACCCAUCAAUAAAAAUUUAAAUGCUCUGUGAGGUACAAUAGCUAUUAAAAGAGACAGAGGC
Long non-coding RNA from Homo sapiens (human), 1601 nucleotides. Ensembl annotates it as long intergenic non-protein coding RNA 1128. The record is from Ensembl. Lineage: Eukaryota; Metazoa; Chordata; Mammalia; Primates; Hominidae.